UACGUAGGGGGCAAGCGUUGUCCGGAUUUAUUGGGCGUAAAGAGCGUGUAGGCGCCACACAGGUCUGCUGUGAAAACUCGAGGCUCAACCUCGAGCUGUCGGUGGAAACCGUGUGGCUAGAGUCCGGAAGAGGAGAGUGGAAUUCCCGGUGUAGCGGUGAAAUGCGCAGAUAUCGGGAAGAACACCCGUGGCGAAGGCGGCUCUCUGGGACGGUACUGACGCUGAGACGCGAAAAGCGUGGGGAGCGAACAGG
This 253-nucleotide ribosomal RNA is filed under the name uncultured bacterium. RNAcentral describes it as "partial 16S ribosomal RNA". It matches the Rfam family "Bacterial small subunit ribosomal RNA", at positions 524 to 776 of the family's 1533-position model. The record is from RNAcentral.